RNAcentral lists this ribosomal RNA (404 nucleotides) under uncultured bacterium. RNAcentral's name for it is "partial 16S ribosomal RNA". It matches the Rfam family "Bacterial small subunit ribosomal RNA", at positions 28 to 526 of the family's 1533-position model. The record is from RNAcentral.
GACGAACGCUGGCGGCGUGCUUAACACAUGCAAGUCGAGCGGAGCGGCGAACGGGAGAGUAACGCUUGAGUAACUGCCCCCCUCUCUGGGAUAAAAGUUGGAAACGGCUGCUAAUACCGGAAAGUGGGGGAUGACUCGCGUCCUAUCAGCUUGUGGGUGGGGUAGUGGCCGACCGAUGCGACGACGGGUAGCCGGCCUGAGAGGGCGACCGGCCAGAUUGGGCCGAGAUACGGCCCGAACUACUAGGGGAGGCAGCAGUGGGGAAUAUGGCACAAUGGGGGAAACCCUGAUGCAGCAACGCGCGUGCGGGAUGACGGCCUUCUGGUUGUAAACCGCUUUCAGCCAUGACGCGGUAGUGGCAGAAGAAGCACCGGCUAACUACGUGCCAGCAGCCGCGGUAAUAC